CAGCACGUCAUGGUGGGCACUCUAAGGAGACUGCCGGUGACAAACCGGAGGAAGGUGGGGAUGACGUCAAGUCAUCAUGGCCCUUACGGCCUGGGCUACACACGUGCUACAAUGGUCGGUACAGAGGGUUGCCAAGCCGCGAGGUGGAGCUAAUCCCACAAAACCGAUCGUAGUCCGGAUCGCAGUCUGCAACUCGACUGC
RNAcentral lists this ribosomal RNA (201 nucleotides) under Pseudomonas sp. BC2_KB2C3. RNAcentral describes it as "partial 16S ribosomal RNA". It matches the Rfam family "Bacterial small subunit ribosomal RNA", at positions 1119 to 1319 of the family's 1533-position model. Lineage: Bacteria; Pseudomonadati; Pseudomonadota; Gammaproteobacteria; Pseudomonadales; Pseudomonadaceae. The record is from RNAcentral.